CCUACGGGGGGCAGCAGUCGAGAAUCAUUCACAAUGGGGGAAACCCUGAUGGUGCGACGCCGCGUGGGGGAAUGAAGGUCUUCGGAUUGUAAACCCCUGUCAUGUGGGAGCAAAUUAAAAAGAUAGUACCACAAGAGGAAGAGACGGCUAACUCUGUGCCAGCAGCCGCGGUAAUACAGAGGUCUCAAGCGUUGUUCGGAAUCACUGGGCGUAAAGCGUGCGUAGGCUGUUUCGUAAGUCGUGUGUGAAAGGCGCGGGCUCAACCCGCGGACGGCACAUGAUACUGCGAGACUAGAGUAAGGGAGGGGGAACCGGAAUUCUCGGUGUAGCAGUGAAAUGCGCAGAUAUCGAGAGGAACACUCGUGGCGAAGGCGGGUUCCUGGACAUUAACUGACGCUGAGGCACGAAGGCCAGGGGAGCGAAAGGGAUUAGAUACCCGAGUAGUC
This 446-nucleotide ribosomal RNA is filed under the name uncultured bacterium. RNAcentral's name for it is "partial 16S ribosomal RNA". It matches the Rfam family "Bacterial small subunit ribosomal RNA", at positions 338 to 795 of the family's 1533-position model. The record is from RNAcentral.